GAUGAACGCUGGCGGCGUGCUUAACACAUGCAAGUCGAACGGAAAGGCCCAAGCUUGCUUGGGUACUCGAGUGGCGAACGGGUGAGUAACACGUGGGUGAUCUGCCCUGCACUUCGGGAUAAGCCUGGGAAACUGGGUCUAAUACCGGAUAGGACGAUGGUUUGGAUGCCAUUGUGGAAAGUUUUUUCGGUGUGGGAUGAGCUCGCGGCCUAUCAGCUUGUUGGUGGGGUAAUGGCCUACCAAGGCGUCGACGGGUAGCCGGCCUGCGAGGGUGUACGGCCAGAUUGGGACUGAGAGACGGCCCAGACUCGUACGGGUGGCAGCAGUGGGGAAUAUUGGACAAUGGGAGCAAGCCUGAUGCAGCGACGCCGCGUGGGGGAUGAAGGCCUUCGGGUUGUAAACUCCUAUCGGUAGGGAAGAAGCGUUUUUGUGACGGUACCUGGAGAAGAAGCACCGGCUAACUACGUG
Molecule: ribosomal RNA, 468 nt
Filed under: uncultured bacterium
Lineage: Bacteria
Description: partial 16S ribosomal RNA
Rfam family: Bacterial small subunit ribosomal RNA
Source: RNAcentral